Oryzias sinensis (Chinese medaka) is the source of this 1660-nucleotide long non-coding RNA. The record is from Ensembl. NCBI's taxonomy places the organism in Eukaryota, Metazoa, Chordata, Actinopteri, Beloniformes, Adrianichthyidae.
CUCUUUUUUCUAGAAACAUGGUUCUCCAUAAAUGCUUAUCUUUAUAAAGGACACUAGCACAUGCAAGAUAAGUACAAAGGAGAAAAAGUUCAGGCUGUGGUGUUUGUCGAUGAGAGAUGUCUGUAUCUGCAUGCAGCACCAGCAGACCGCUCCUCAGAGGGUGGAGGGAGAGGUAGUGGUUUCCACUCAGCAGAAAGGCCUCUGGCCACCAUGCCAGCACAAUCUCUUCAGCACUAGGGACCCCCAUUGCUCUCUACAUCUCUUCCUCUCUUUGCCUCUUGCCUCUCCCCCAACCCACAUUUAUUUCUGUCAGCUUCCAUAUUCUUGUCUUCACAGCACGUUUGCCAACACUCAGAAGACGUUUCUAGUUCGUCUAGACGAGGCCCUGCUGUCGACUGUGGGGACCCCUGGGACGAUCAGCAUGCCUGUUUAGGCCCUGGUGUGACACCGCAUGUCCUAUAAGAUACACCAACACAGGCACCCGGCUCUUCCCCUGCAGUCCUACGGCCUCCAUAUGCACACAUCACUACAAUGAGCGUCCUUUGGUGAAGACCCCAGCAUUCCCAAUUUCAGAGAUAUUAUCUGAAAAGAUAGUUGCCAGUGGAUAACAGCAAAAGGUCAGAGAAAGAUUCACUGAUCAUGACAAUGAUAAAUUCAAUACCCAGUAGCAUUUAUGGAUUGAAAUUUGACUGUCUCAUUGAAACACGUAGACAUAUUUAAAGAUAAAUAAAUGGUUAAGUAUUCAGAUUUUCUGCAAGAACAACAGUAAAAAAAAACAGGAGUGUGUAGAUAAGUGUUAUAGAGACAGAGCUAAUUCAGUCAUAUCCAUUUACAAAAUCACUUACACAAAGAAUCCUGUGUUUUACUAAACAGUUCCGUUUUGGAUUUACAACUACAGAUUUUUUUCCCUUUACUUUAUAAAAGAAAAACUGGAUUUAGAUUAAGCAACUGAUCAAGGCAAAACCUUAUUUUGAAGUCAGUUUUGAUAAAGUUUUGAUUAUUCAGAUUUGAUUUGAUAAAGUCAAUGAGCAACACUAUCAAGUCUACAUUACUUUAAUUUUUUCUAUUGUUGUGGAUGGAACAUUCAUUUAGUUUGUAUUUGUAUUGUGAUGAUGCAUCCUCACUCGUUGUAACCAGUAACCUCUUCACCUGUCUUCUUAUAAAAAAAGUCAAAAAAGGACUUCAUAAGAUAUUAAAUUUUGAUUUGCUGCCUUAUACAUUGUGCAUGUGGAAUAGAGGGAUACAUAUGCUAGAACUGUAUUUUCCCAACCAAUACUAUUCUAUAAGACACCUGACCAAUGAUACAGCGGGGAAAAUAAGUAUUGAACAAGUCAGCAUUUUUCUCAAAAAACACAUUUCUAAUCGAGCUAUUAACACGAAAUUUUCACCAGAUGUCGGCAACAACCCAAGUAAUGCACACAUAGAAAGAAAUCCAAACAUUUAUGUCCAUAAAUGAAGUUAUGUGUAAUAAAGCGAAAUGGCACAGGGAAUAAGUAUUGAACACAUGAAGAAAAGGACGGGUAAAAAGGUCUGGCAAGCCAAGAAAGCAGCUGGAGUUUGUCAGUAUUCAGAAGGUUAACCUGCCCCCUAUUAGUGCAAAGUAAUAUCAGCUGGUAUAGUCCUGAUUGAUGCCUUUUAAAAAGGUUUCUCACCAGCAAGG